GAUGAACGCUAGCUACAGGCUUAACACAUGCAAGUCGAGGGGAAACGAUAUUGGAAGCUUGCUUCCGAUAGGCGUCGACCGGCGCACGGGUGAGUAACGCGUAUCCAACCUGCCCACCACUUGGGAAUAACCUUGCGAAAGUAAGACUAAUGCCCAAUGAUAUCUCUAGAAGACAUCUGAAAGAGAUUAAAGAUUUAUCGGUGAUGGAUGGGGAUGCGUCUGAUUAGCUUGUUGGCGGGGUAACGGCCCACCAAGGCGACGAACAGUAGGGGUUCUGAGAGGAAGGUCCCCCACAUUGGAACUGAGACACGGUCCAAACUCCUACGGGAGGCAGCAGUGAGGAAUAUUGGUCAAUGGGCGAGAGCCUGAACCAGCCAAGUAGCGUGCAGGAUGACGGCCCUAUGGGUUGUAAACUGCUUUUAUAAGGGAAUAAAGUGAGCCUCGUGAGGCUUUUUGCAUGUACCGUAUGAAUAAGGACCGGCUAAUUCCGUGCCAGCAGCCGCCGUAA
This 508-nucleotide ribosomal RNA is filed under the name uncultured bacterium. RNAcentral's name for it is "partial 16S ribosomal RNA". It matches the Rfam family "Bacterial small subunit ribosomal RNA", at positions 28 to 523 of the family's 1533-position model. The record is from RNAcentral.